This 254-nucleotide ribosomal RNA is filed under the name uncultured bacterium. RNAcentral's name for it is "partial 16S ribosomal RNA". It matches the Rfam family "Bacterial small subunit ribosomal RNA", at positions 524 to 776 of the family's 1533-position model. The record is from RNAcentral.
UACGUAGGGUGCAAGCGUUGUCCGGAAUUAUUGGGCGUAAAGAGCUCGUAGGCGGUUUGUCGCGUCUGCUGUGAAAACCCGCGGCUCAACCGUGUGGUCUGCAGUCGAUACGGGCAGGCUAGAGUUCGGUAGGGGAGACUGGAAUUCCUGGUGUAGCGGUGAAAUGCGCAGAUAUCAGGAGGAACACCGGUGGCGAAGGCGGGUCUCUGGGCCGAUACUGACGCUGAGGAGCGAAAGCGUGGGGAGCGAACAGG